CUCCGUUCCGUUAUUCAUGGCCUAUUUCUUUUGGGUACGGAUAUUUAGGAGAAUAAGAUUGUAGUGUAAAAGUGUGUAAAGGUGUGCGGCCACAUUAUUUGAAGUGUGAAAUCAUUACCGAGUCAUGAAAAACAAGACAGCCGAAAAAGGAAAACAGGUCAUCAAUAAUGUGUCGGGGGAGUAGUAAUUACAAAGCUCUGACGCCAAGCACUAACAUAGUUGAAGAAGGAUGACACGAUGGGUGGAGAGUAUCUGUAGUAAGGAAUAAGUCCAAGAUAAAGGAAGUAGGAAGUGACAGCCGAUCUGAUGAGAAAGGGAUGGUUUGUUGGGGGAUUUAGCAUCGACAAGGAAGCCGUAAAACUUGAGAAGAAAAAAAACAACGAGAAAAGACAUCCGGUAAAGAUAACCAACCACAAUUGUAUCAUCGUCACCGACGGCGCACCGAAUAAGAGCCCUACAAUUGUGAGCACUGACCAAAUNNN
This 482-nucleotide long non-coding RNA is filed under the name Salvia miltiorrhiza (redroot sage). RNAcentral describes it as "long non-coding RNA (SMIL_LNC002862)". The record is from RNAcentral. Lineage: Eukaryota; Viridiplantae; Streptophyta; Magnoliopsida; Lamiales; Lamiaceae.